Molecule: ribosomal RNA, 497 nt
Filed under: uncultured bacterium
Lineage: Bacteria
Description: partial 16S ribosomal RNA
Rfam family: Bacterial small subunit ribosomal RNA
Source: RNAcentral
GAUGAACGCUGGCGGCGUGCCUAAUACAUGCAAGUCGAGCGAACAGACGAGGAGCUUGCUCCUUUGACGUUAGCGGCGGACGGGUGAGUAACACGUGGAUAACCUACCUAUAAGACGGGGAUAACUUCGGGAAACCGGAGCUAAUACCGGAGAAUAUAUUGAACCGCAUGGUUGAAUAGUAAAAGACGGUUGUGCUGUCACGUAUAGAUGGAUCCGCGCCGCAUUGGCGAGUUGGUAAGGUAACGGCUUACCAAGGCAAGGAUGCGUUGCCGACCUGAGAGGGUGGUCGGCCACCCUGGAGCUGAGCCACGGUCCAGACUCCUGCGGGACGCAGCAGUAGCGAAUCUUCCGCAGUGGGCGAGAGCCUGGCGGAGCAACGCCACGUGAGUGAUGAAGGUCUUCGGAUCGUAAAGCUCUGUUAUUGGUGGAAAACAAAUGUGUAAGUUACUAUACACGUCUUGACGGUACCUGGUCAGAAAGCACCGGCUAACUACGUG